Molecule: non-coding RNA, 95 nt
Organism: Acanthosepion pharaonis
Lineage: Eukaryota; Metazoa; Mollusca; Cephalopoda; Sepiida; Sepiidae
Source: the annotation of a GenBank genome assembly
UUGAAACACUGGUUCUCGUAAGAUCACUGAUGUUAAGCAAUGUAGAGCCUGGUCUGUACCUUGGUGGGUGAUGGCAUGAGAAUACAAGGUGCUAU